CCUCUCGCCCUUACCCUUGUCUUGCUCCUCAUGGGAACACCCUCUCUUUGUUAACCGGUUCCGUAAGAUCUACCUGAUCCCCAAAUGCGUUGGCAGCUUUAGUAGCUCAUAUCUCAGCUGUAAAUUAUUCACGUAAUUGUUCGCGAUCGGUUCUUGAAUUUCUCAUCUUGGCUAAUUGGUUCUGCUUCACAGUGAUCCCCUGCUAAAAUAUAUUUUCUUAAAAAUUUUGGUUAAAAUAUUUACAUUCUUGAGGGAUCACUGUUACAGUCUGCAGGUUUCUUUUUAAUCAACUUUUGAUUUUUUUUGCCCAUUCCCGUGUGGGAGUGCUGCCGCAAGAAGGUGUGCUGAGUGGGCGGAGUGACGGCCAUUUACAGUGGCGCGUUAAUAAUAAUUGACAUUAUUUGAGAUUAUUGUGCUGAUUAUGGAAACUUAGUAUUUAUGCAAAUUCUUUUUUAUGAGGUGGCAGGUGCCAUUCCACUCCACCGUCAGAUGCCGUCAGAAAAUGAUGUUUUUCCCUCAAAAUAUAAAAAGAGUAGUUCCAUGAAAAGUAUCUUAUCUGGCUUGGGGUUUCUCAGUUCAAAUAAAAGAAGGGAAAGUACUUAACCAACAAUCAACAAGAUUAUUAAUCCCAAGACCUUUUAUUCUUUUUCCAACUGAUAAAAAAAAUGAAAACUCUUGAUUGUAGUUCUUGAAGAGUUUUUGGAAGAAUUAGGAACUAUUUUUGGGUGGUACUAUCUCACUAUUUACUGAAAAAAGGGCAUAUUACUAUCGCUAAUGAGACAUCUCUAACAUUCUAUUGAAGAACUAUCAUUUAUAUAUCAUUAUAUCAUUAUCUGUUGUGCGAAUGUAUGCUUUUCUGUCCAUUUUUUAAUCUCUUCAAUGAAACACCUCCCACAUUCCAUUAUAAAAAAUUUAAUUUAUCAAAAUGGUACUACCUGAGAUCAUACAUACCUCGCAUACUUUGGCUAUAACCCACUCCCAUUUCACUCCAUCUGGCAUUUCCUCAAAAGUUCGCACAGCUGUUGCCGCAUCCACGCGCUGAUUCAUUGACCCACAACUCCAACAGUUGUAGCCAAGCCCAUCCAAGAAGCAACUGAAACUGAAAAAAAAAAAAAUUAAAAAGAAACUACUACAGCAACAUCGUGUCAGGGUCUGCAUGUAAAUGUUGCUGCCCAGACUUGUAAAUUACCCCAACGAAAGACAGAAGACAGGAAAAGUGGGAGGAGGUGGAGGUGGCAUAGGCGGUGGCGGCAUAGGGGGUAUAUUCCGGUAUAGGCUCUGGUGAAGUUCUAAAACCGAAAAUUGAGAUUACAAGCUGAAAGCAGCUAAAAUAACAAAAAACAACAGAAAGAAGCGAUUGUUGUUCUUUGAUUUGGCUUGUUUUAUUCCGCUCUAAUGAAAAGUUGUCGGCCGCAGGGAGUAGAAAACAAAAUAAUCAUACAUUGAGAUACAAGAUCCAAAAAACACAAGAUACAAAAAAAUCUCAAUCCAAGAGUAGGAAAAACAAAGACGUAAAUAGGCACUAAAAAGUUACAGAAAAAGGUGGCUUAAGAAAGUGAGAUUUUAUUUUCGGGGCGCCACUAAAGAGAUACUAAUACUCUUCUAAAGAAAAUUAAAUAUAAGGAUAUUCAUAGAACAAUAUUAGAUAUAAGUAAAAGUAGUUAAGAUAUAAAUGAUAUAAGAUAUAAACAAAAUUUUGGAAUAAAAUAUUUGGAGCAUUACCUAUUAAAAGUGGUGUGUUGUGUUAAUUUUAAAUUACUUGGUAGUAUAAUUAUUGGUAGUAAAAUAAAUAAUUGGUUAAUUGGUUAUAAAUAAAUAAAACUAUAAAAUAAUAAAAUAAAAUAAUAAAAGAAAGUAUCUAAAAUUUCUCUUCAAAACGGAACUAUGAACCACAAGACCUCUCUUUGUAGGGCAGAAUUAAGAACAAAGUACAAGAAAAACAGGAACACUAAAAUAAAAAAAUAUAAAUAAAAAAAAAACUGUGAAAAAACAAACCCAUGGAGCCCUCGAUCACGUUUUUACGAUUCUGGCCACGAUUACAUACAUAUGUACAUAUAGUAAUAAGGAGGGGAAGGGGAAAGAGAACGCAUUACGCGUGGUCCAGUCCAUGUUCAUCUCCAUGUGUAGUAACUCCAUUUGUCCAGCUGCCCCCACAGGCCAUCUACUUGUCCUUUUCUCCUAUUUCCCCAAUCCAUUCAUCAUUAUCAUGAUCGGUUGGGGAACAUCAUAAUCCGUUUCGUAGACGUUUCGCUUUUCUUCUUUACGACUUUUUCUCUUGCCCUCUCUGCUCUUUUCGUUUCUUGGCCUGUUCUGUGUUUGCUAAUUUCUUGUACGUGCUGUUCUGGCUUUACUCUUGCGCUGCCUCCGCCUCUUCUCCUUUUACCUCCCUUCAUCCUCUUCUUCGGGUUCUCUUUACCUUUGCCGCUGCGGCUCAGGUAGGAAGCAUACACACCUGAGGGUAAUUGAAUAAUAUUCAGUUUCAAAAAUUUAAUAGAAAAAAGAUAAAUAUGAUUUGAUAUUUAUAACUACAUACAUAUUAUUUUAGUUAUAUUUUUCCAAGUUGUUACAGGAAUUUUUUACUUUUUGGAACUAUCGAAGUGCCCCCCAAUUAUAGGGUGUAGUGGGUUCCCUUCUCCACGUAAAUUACAAUUACUUACAGCGCCCAGUGCUGGCUCCCUCUCUCCCACUGUCCCUACAUCUCGUCGCAUCUCUUUUCCACCUUAUGCGGCGCUCCCUUUCUGCAUUUGAUAAUUUAUGCAGCAUAAUCUGGCCGAUGACGUUUAUCGUUUGCCAUUCCCAUUUGUCCCCUUCUUUCGGUGGACUCUCUUUCGACCCUCCUUGCACUCAAUCCACCCCCUCCUCCUAUACCUAGUAUUUCCUUUAUGGGCAACCUUAUCGUGUUCUGCUUCAUCUUUUGUGUCUGUUUGCACUGCCCCCGAGAAUCGUUUCCUUUUAUGUUUUAUUUGUUGAUUUCUUUGAUUUCGCUUUUUCUUUUAUUUAUUUAUUUAUUUUUUUUUUUUUUUAGUAUGAUCAUGAUGAUGUUCACCUUUAGUUUCGUUCCAUUUCGUUUCGUUUCAACUGCGCAUGCGCGGCGCGCAUCCUGUUUUCCGUCGAGGGUCUUUGUUUUCUACUUUUGUCCCACUUCUCCAGUGGCUUCUGAUCUAUCUAUCCUUCUCUCUUCCUCCGGCUGAAGUAGGUCUUUGGGGUUUUUGAACAUGUUUUGGUCUCUUGGUUUCAGAUUUUCCAGUUUCUACUUCGAAGGAGGAUGGAAAUUUGGCAUUAAAAAGAUUUCUCUUAUUUUUCCAGCUAAUUGGUUAGCUUUUUGUAAAAAAAAAAAGCGGAAGGAAAUCGACUUAAACCUUCUACUGGGUGGCCUGUGACUGCCCACAAUUAAUUGCAAUUCCCUAGAUUACAAUUUAAUUUCCAUUCCGUCUGCCCUAUUAAAUCAUUAUUCAUUUCGGUAGCUGAUCACAAGUUAUGGUCCAUGGCAAUAGGGCUUGCCCAAGUCCAAUGCUUAUGCCCUGGAUCGGUUAAGCCUGAGACAAGCUGCUAAGCCUCUUACCCACACAACUGUCACGCAAUCAGCCAACGAUCCUCCCCAGACGGCAGGUAACUUGUUUGGCUCUCUUUUACCAAUUCCUGCCGUUUCCACGCUCGUUCUGAUUACAAAGAACCAGCGGGAAUAACGUAAGAAACGUAAAAAAAAAAGUUAACAAAACAGUGACUCAUUGGGCUGUAGAGCCAUUCUCCAAAAACGGGCAUCGCUCCAUCGACUCCCAGACUGCUGGCUGGCGUCUACCGCUGGUGGAAGUUGCAGUUUUUCGUCGCUGUUGCAGCUGAAAGCGGCUUUAACUGUAUCUCCCAGUUGCCAGUCUCUGUUCCCAAUGGAUAAGUGUACAGUGAUCUCUGGCAAUGAGUGUACGAUAGUUUUUUUCUUUUCUUAAAUAGGAUUAAAAAUAAAUUAAAAUCCAUUGGAUAAACUCACUUUAUGAGUCAUAAGCAAGGUGUUGGUAUUAUUAUUCUGAAAAGAUGUAUUAAUAACUUCACUGUUGAAUAAAAAGUUGAGAAUCAUAAUAUAUUUAUUUGACCUGCUGAGAUGAACCAGCAGAAACCCAUCUUCAUUCUUCUAAGAGGAGGAUCUUCCCUUCUUUUCCCUUUCUUCAGUUAACAAUUUAUAUUUUGUUCAAGUCAUUAGCUUUAAUUUACAAAUACCUCGGCUAGUUUCAUUCAUGGCUCGAUCUUCAAUGGGAGAACCCUAAAUGGUAUGUCCCCCUCUAUUUUUUUGGCCAUUAGGAAGUGCAUCAACGAGAUCGAUCUGGGUUUCUUGUCGCUCCAUUGGCUUUGGGCCCAACCCAGUUACUGAACUUUCAAUCUUGGUGGGCCUGGGCCAUUGAUCUCCACUUUAUUGAACUCUAUCGCUGUUCAUUUGCGAUCUUCAUUUUCGUGUAUUUUUUAUUGUCUGGUUGAACAUUAUGAUUAAUUGGUUUGAUCGAGAUGUCUGACUUGGCAAAUGUUUGAUUUAACGCUUCGUUGAUCCCGGCGGUGUAAAUAGCUAUCGACUAAUGGAGUUUUCUCGGCCUCUGGUAAUGGAGACAAGAAAAAUUGAAUAACCUUUUCGAUUGCUUAUUAAUUGAUUGUUUUUCAAGUUCUUUGCUAAACUCAAUUAUUUUGAAAUUACGAGCACUUUCCCCCACUCAUCAGUGUUUAGACUAUUAUUUUCUUAUUUUUUUUUGCAAUUUGUUCCAUUUGGGGAGCGUUUAAAGCAAAUCUCACAGAAACAAUGACCGCAAUGCCCCUUUGUUUUGCCAUUUCAGCAAUUUUCUGACCAAAACAGACUCUAAUUUCGCGAAACUUUCUUCUUUUUUUAUUCAAUUGCACAAAAAGUUGAACUGUUUUUGUUAUUUUUCCCCCGUAGACUAGUGGCCUCAGUAAUGAUGAUGAUGACAACUAAAUGGGGGAAAUUGAAGUUGUGGAUGGGAAGGGGCUGGCGGGCUGGUACCAACAAUGUCAACAAGUCGAAAUGAAAUUCGCCACGCUUUGUAGCUACCGUAGACCACAUAAACAAAUCCAAUUAAUUUGAAUAAACCAUUAAUUUCAAGGCUGAAAUCAACGCCCAACUUCCACACACUUAAUAAUUCAAUUAAAUCCAAAAAUCUGACAUUGAAAAAGUGAAAUAAAAUUAUGGAAUUUUUUCUGCAAAAUCGGCUCGAAACUCAACCGUGAAAUUCAAUCAAUUACAGAGUGCACUCCCUUUUAUUAAGUAAAAUAUAGUAGAUAAAAAAACGGUUUCAAUAAACCAUUUAACACUCCAUUAAAGAAGCAACCCAUAAAAUGUUCUUCGAACAGUAAUGUGAUAUGGUUAUCGAACACUUAUUUUCCUUCAAUCAAAUCAGAAAAAAAUGAACAUGAUUUUAUAUUUUGGAUUUUAUUUGUUCAGCGAUGAGGUUUCGUUGGGUCAACAACAGAAGGUCGGCUGGAGUUCAACUUUAAUUGACAGAGACACUAGAGGCACACCACAGAGGAGUGUGCCAUUGACCGACCGGCUGUCUCUUCCCCCACUGCCGCCACUCUUGGUUUUUUUCUUUCUGUGUGGUCAGCUUGCGGUUUGAGUGACAGCAUUUUAUGCCGCCUCAGGCCCCAGGCGGAAAUGGUAAUACUUUAUAGUCGACAGUAUAGUGGGCAGAUUCCUCAAGAACUUCAAAUAAACUCCAUGGCAAAUUUCCAGACAAUUCUGCUGUUGAACUUCCCGUGAAGGCUGUCCCGAGCGUCGGCAGCUCUUUCAAAAAUAAACAAGCUAAAAUUUUGGCGAUUUUUUGUGCAAAUCUAGCACAUACAGUUUAUGGCGUUAAACUGUUGAAAUGCUCUCGAGAAGCUGAAAUAAAAAUGCUGUGAAAAAAUAAACUUGAAUCUUGUAUACCAGAAAGGCGAAACAAACCUGAAGUUUCUGAGACAAUCUAUAGAUCGAUUCAUAUUCAAAUAAAUGCAAUUUUUCAUAGCGGUUAUCUUAAUUGGAAGAUUAAUUUAUUGUUGGUAUCAUCGGGUGGUCAGAACUUCCGCCACAGAUGAUCUGACAUUUCAAUUUAGAGUUUAGGACUAAGACUAAGAUCUCUUAGACUUGGCACUUCAUCAUCCCUAAACAAUAAUCGUAUAAUUUUGAAGUGAAAAGGAAAACGUGUAUCUAGAAGAUUGGUUCCUCAACUCCAGAUGCGUUCCAGACCCAUUUCAAAAGCUCCACAUCUCCUCCCAGUUUUAGCCAUUUUGCAACGCACAUAAAUCAGUUUAAAAUGGUUUUUUUAUAUGAUUAUCAAUCACCAUUAAGUUGAGGGAAUAAGUUGAAUCGUCGUUGGGCUGCACUAACUAGUUGUGAGAUGUUAAUCGGAACUAAGGAUCUCAGAACAUUUAUCAUUAUUCUAGGGAGGCGUCGACUCAACAGCUACGGCUAUAAAUUUACCUCAAAAGCUCAUAUGCUAGUCAUAAAAAUGAGGAUUUUUAUUUUAAAUUAUGACUACAACUUUGCACUGAAAAUGACUAAAUGAAACUAUUGAUAUGAAAAGUAUCUGGAUGACUAAAGUAAUUUUUUCAAGUGUCCAAUAUCAUCACAUAAACACGUUAUCGAGGGGGCUGGAGGCGACUCGCUGGCUGGAUGGCUGGCUGGCUGGCUGGUCGUCAGAAGCAGACUCCACAGUAGACUGGUUCUGGUUCUUCGUCAUGUUCUGGUUGUUCUGCUUUGAUUUGAUCUAUAUUAAUCAAGAUCCAGGCUGGCGUCACAGAGUACCCAUGUACACACAUUAUUAUGCGACGGGAGGAUCGGUCUUGCGAAAGUGACUGCUUUUGAUUAAAUUAUAUGAGAUUUUGCGUGGC
Molecule: long non-coding RNA, 6861 nt
Organism: Drosophila ananassae
Lineage: Eukaryota; Metazoa; Arthropoda; Insecta; Diptera; Drosophilidae
Exons: 2
Source: RefSeq, a predicted model, not a curated record